AUCACACGGUUGAGGAGACUUCGGACUUCCUGACUCUUUCUUCCGAGACGCGGCUAGGGCUUCAUUGUCGCCGGCGCCGAGCGCUGCGCCGUCAUGGCUUGGUGAUCAGCAAAGCUACCGGCCUGCCGGCUGCCGCUUGAGGCGGAUCAUUCGAGCACCGGAGCACAAGUCUACGGAGUAUGGACUACGACCAGCCCAGCCGAACGGCAACGCCACACGCCCACACCCAAUUUCUAACUUGAUCCCGUGAAUCAGAAACGAAGGCAUCGAGAGAAAUCCUGAGCCAAUUGACAAGUACCAACAUGCAUAAACUUCACGGCAUCGGAAGUUGGUUCUGCCCAUGUUUGCUUUGGCUGUGAUUGUGACGGCUUCAAGCACAGGUAGGAGGGGAAGUGACACGGCCAUUGAUUGGGACCAAGGAAGUGUAGCUUGUUCGUCGGAUCGGUCCAUGUAGACGUUUGUGCAUUUUGUAUAUGGCGUUUUUUUGUAUGUGCAUCAGGGUAAAGAUUGGAUUAUUCAAUGGACAUUUGGUGCGAUGAUGUGACGAUUCUUUGUAGUGCAAUGGAUGGAAGAACUGUGUUGUUCU
Molecule: long non-coding RNA, 586 nt
Organism: Triticum aestivum (bread wheat)
Lineage: Eukaryota; Viridiplantae; Streptophyta; Magnoliopsida; Poales; Poaceae
Exons: 2
Source: RefSeq, a predicted model, not a curated record